Molecule: unclassified non-coding RNA, 2106 nt
Filed under: Trichogramma pretiosum
Lineage: Eukaryota; Metazoa; Arthropoda; Insecta; Hymenoptera; Trichogrammatidae
Description: uncharacterized LOC106655542, transcript variant X1
Source: RNAcentral
UUCAAAUUUCAUUUAUUAUUUAUUUUAUAAGGAUAAGAAAAAGAAUAAGCCCAUGUAACAUGGCUCCAAUUAAAAAGAUAGCUAAACUGGCACCUCGUUACAAGAUAAAAUAUAGACAGCCGUCGACCACGCUGUUCUUGCAGAAGAUUCGACAGUGACGCGUUAUUGGAAAUUUCGGCACGAAUGUAAACAAGUACUCGCGAUCCAUACGAGAGAUCCAUAAGAGAGUUUUUUAAAGACGUUUUUAGACGUCAAAAGCAAUCGCUACUUACAGAUUAUUUUCUUGAAUGAAUUAAUAAAAAAAACUCAAAUUGAAGCAUACAAAAUAACUGGGAUUAUUGAGCAUAAUGGAAACGGUGAAUAUGGACGACUGCUGUCUACGCGGUUUUGUGAAAGAUGAAUGUCAUAAGGAUACCUAUCGAGCACACCAAAGUACGCACAAAGUUAGUACAUUGCCGGAGGAAGAGAUGAAACUUCUGUACUCGAGAGUACCUGGGUUACAAGAAAUUGAAGAAAAGUCAAUAUGUGAUUACCAUUACAGGAAAUAUAUUACUUAUUAUUCGGCAAAUUAUUCCAAAUGUUGUGAUCCGUGGAAGAACCAUAAAAAAAAUAUAACACAAUAUUUGAGAAUAAUUGAUCUGGACUUUUCGGAGAAAGUCAAGCAAGCAUGCAACAUCAAUAUUGUACCUGGUCAAAAAUUUUGUUCCAAUUGUCAGAAAAGGCUCUCUGUUAUCGUUGAAAAGUUUGAAAUUGAUAGGAUGUUUUGCAUAGAUCCAUUUCAAAGACAUAGAAGCAUGAUUGACGAUGAUCUUCGUAAUUUGACUAGAGAGUAUAUAGAUCAUUUGAAAGAAAACCACGAUUUAAAUUUGACCGUAGAGCAUAAAGUUUGCCGUAAUUGCCGUUCCUCGCUAAAUUAUGAAAUUAGAGGUUCUCAGCAAUCUUCAACGGCAAAAGAAGAAGAUUUAGAAGAAGAUUCGUCUUCAACCGAAUCCUCGGCUUCUUCCACGACAUCUUCAGAAGAUUCAGUAUCAACGGCAUCCUCGGAUUCUCCUCCACCAAAUAAAACCAAUUCGCGAAAAACAAAUAAGGUAUCAAAUAAAAAAAAAUGUACUAAAAGUUCGUCAACGCCAGCAUUAGAGUUGAGCACUCGAAAGCGACAUCUUAAAGACAUAUUCGACGUUUUUGAUAUUGCUCCGGUGAAACGUCCAAGAGUGGCCGAUAAACGUUUGCUUCAAAAAGGUUUGAAGAUCAUUCAGAAAGUCGCUAGUCAGGUAUCGGAAACUUUUCAAGACGUUUAUAAUGUAAGAAUGCCAAAAUUGGAUCGUAUUUACCAAUGGCAUAACGAAAGUAUCUGGUUGAAGAAGAUGAUAAGAAAUAUGCAAAUCAAGUAUCGCGUUUCUUCCUACAAUGAGAGGAUAUCGUUAUUAACUUUUUUACCCGAUGAUUGGAACUUGGAACAGAUAAAUGAAUACUUUCAUUGCUCGGAGGACAUGGUCAGCGAGGCUAAUAAAUUGAGACAAAGUAUUGGUAAAAGUAAGAAAAAGAAUUGAGGACGUAUGAUUUCAACAAUAUCUUCGGGUGACAUCUCACCAUUCUACAAAGACUCAAAGCGACUGUUACUCUUAAUAUAAUUAAUCAAAAAAAUAGAUAUAAAUACUGGUGCCUUGACAAUGGAUUUUGAGGAAAAUUUUCCAUUUUUAUCUCAAAACUCUACUCUCGACUAAAACUUUAUCAAUAAUAGUGACACGCGACUCACAUCAAUGCAGAAAACUAAGAGACAAUGAUAUAAAGAAAUAUUGCUCUGAUCGUCAAGCUAUUGAUAUAGUACUAUACUUGAUUAAAUAAAAACAUCAAGUUUAUGCAUAAAAAGAAUUAUUUACUUCUCUGAUCUUAUAACAUCAGUUUUAAAAAAAAAUCACCAAGUAAAUGUUAGUCAGUGUGAGAUUGAUUUUUCUUUGAAAAUAAAAGUUUAUCAAUUUCAUUUCGACACCGCAUGAAAAAAGAUGCAAUGGUAUUGGAAUAAGAUGUGCAGCUUAAAAAGCUUCCUAACACUGCGCAAUGAUUCUCAAUGUUAAGUACUACCAAGAUGAAAUUGAAAUAGUCUUG